RNAcentral lists this ribosomal RNA (478 nucleotides) under Cales sp. D3468. Its description in RNAcentral is "eukaryotic LSU rRNA". The record is from RNAcentral. Lineage: Eukaryota; Metazoa; Arthropoda; Insecta; Hymenoptera; Calesidae.
CAGGGGUAAACCUGAGAAAUCCAAAAGAUCGAAUGGGGAGAUUCAUCCUCUGCGUCGUUGGCUUCCGUGUGUCGCGCGAUGCUCGGGACUUGUCCUGUGGCACGCCGGCACUGCGGUUUGUCCGGCGGCGCGGUGGUGCACUUCUCCCCUAGUAGGACGUCGCGACCCGUUGGGUGUCGGUCUACGGCCCGAUGCGUCGACUGUUGUAACACGUUCACGCGUGCACGCGACAGACGCUCGGUCGCCCGACCGGCUGCCCGGCGGUAUCGAAAGCUAACUUAAACUGGUAUAGAGCCGCAUUAAUUGCGUCCGACUCGUCGGCCGGCUCGUCUCGCUCGGAUUUACGGACUUUGUGCCGUUGUCGAGCGCUUGACGGGCUAUUCAGGUCGCGCGAUGUACUCGGACUGGCUCGACGCAUUCAUUCGUGGAUGUACCGGUCAGCGACGCUACUGCUUUGGAUACUUUCAGGACCCGUCUU